CCAAUAGCGUAUAUUAAAGUUGUUGCAGUUAAAAAGCUCGUAGUUGAAUUUCGGGAUCAAUAUGUCGGUCGUGCUUCGGUACGUACUGGCGUUAUUGGUUUCUCCCUUCUGAAGAACCGCGAUGUCAUUAAUUUGGUGUCGUGGGGAAUCAGGACUGUUACUUUGAAAAAAUUAGAGUGUUUAAAGCAGGCUCGCGCUUGAAUACAUUAGCAUGGAAUAAUGAAAUAGGACGUUUGAUUCUAUUUUGUUGGUUUCUAGGAUCGACGUAAUGAUUAAUAGGGAUAGUUGGGGGCAUUAGUAUUCAAUUGUCAGAGGUGAAAUUCUUGGAUUUAUUGAAGACUAACUACUGCGAAAGCAUUUGCCAAGGAUGUUUUCAUUAAUCAAGAACGAAAGUUAGGGGAUCGAAGACGAUCAGAUACCGUCGUAGUCUUAACCAUAAACUAUGCCGACCAGGGAUCGGAUGAUGUUAAUUUUUUAAUGACUCAUUCGGCGCCUUACG
This 499-nucleotide ribosomal RNA is filed under the name uncultured Glomeromycotina. RNAcentral describes it as "partial small subunit ribosomal RNA". It matches the Rfam family "Eukaryotic small subunit ribosomal RNA", at positions 591 to 1092 of the family's 1831-position model. The record is from RNAcentral. Lineage: Eukaryota; Fungi; Glomeromycota.